GAUGAACGCUGGCGGCGUGCCUAACACAUGCAAGUCGAGCGAUUCUCUUUGGAGAAGAGCGGCGGACGGGUGAGUAACGCGUGGGUAACCUGCCUCAUACACAUGGAUAACAUACCGAAAGGUAUGCUAAUACAGGAUAACAUAAGAGAUUCGCAUGUUUCUCUUAUCAAAGCUCCGGCGGUAUGAGAUGGACCCGCGUCUGAUUAGCUAGUCGGUAAGGUAAUGGCUUACCAAGGCAACGAUCAGUAGCCGACCUGAGAGGGUGAUCGGCCACAUUGGAACUGAGACACGGUCCAAACUCCUACGGGAGGCAGCAGUGGGGAAUAUUGCACAAUGGGCGAAAGCCUGAUGCAGCAACGCCGCGUGAGUGAUGAAGGCCUUCGGGUCGUAAAACUCUGUCCUCAAGGAAGAUAAUGACGGUACUGAGAGAGCCC
RNAcentral lists this ribosomal RNA (434 nucleotides) under uncultured bacterium. Its description in RNAcentral is "bacterial SSU rRNA". It matches the Rfam family "Bacterial small subunit ribosomal RNA", at positions 28 to 493 of the family's 1533-position model. The record is from RNAcentral.